Thamnophis elegans (Western terrestrial garter snake) is the source of this 251-nucleotide long non-coding RNA. RefSeq lists it as uncharacterized. NCBI's taxonomy places the organism in Eukaryota, Metazoa, Chordata, Lepidosauria, Squamata, Natricidae. The record is from RefSeq and is a predicted model, not a curated record. The transcript has 3 exons.
CCGCGGCUGUCCACCCUUUUGGAGACCUCCACUGAGUUGGAACCACAGGACCAACCAGUGGAGGAGGAGCUCUCUCCUGGGCAGGACACCUCUUCUCCAGAGGAUUCGCUGACCGUCCUGUUGGGCUCCAGGACCAGCAGCCUCUGUGAGGUGGACUCCCUUGCUGACCUCCUGGAGGAGGAAUCUGAGGAUAGCUGGGACCAGGAUGCAGAGGCCAGCUCCUCUUCCAGUCCAUGGGUAAGAAAGACAAA